CACACGGUGGCCGCUGUACAUACCACACGUGCAUGCCCCUGACCCUCUUCCCCUCAGCGGCUCAGCCUCAGGCAGGAGGAUCCCGAUUCCCAUGGGGAACGAUCCUUCUUCUUUUUCUUUCUCAUUAGUUUGACUCUCUUUUUUUUUUUUUUUGCCCCCUUGCUCCGUUUCCUUGUGUCGACGGUCGAUUGACCAUGUGCAUGAGAUGCGAGGAGGCAUAGUUGUAUUUUGAGAGAUCAGAGAUGAACAAGGCUAUUCUAGGGUCAGCAAGAACAUGUUCUGAUUCUACGUACGUCAGGUGUGUUCUGAUUGUCUUUGCAACUAACCCAUCGACGAUCCAGACCUCCUGUUAAAACUGAUCAGGACAACAAGGCACAAUUAGAUGAAUCUGACGAUGACAUUGAUUUGAAAACUCUAAGUCAUUUGUGUGGUGACUUAACAGAGGAAAUCAUGUAUAGUCAAGUGGAAGAAAAUAUUUUGGUACACAAUCCUCAAAGGAGCAAUAAUUUUAAUUUAUUUUAAAAACAAGAAAAGCCAAACGUACCUGACCAGAAACAAAAACAUAAUUCUUGAUGAGAGGAAUGUUUUGGAACAGCAAAGGUCUACAUGACUUGGCUAAAUCUACUUUUUUGUGUGAUACUUCGUUAGAAUAUGAUAUUGACGAGAAUUUUGUAAACAUGACACCGUCUACAAC
RNAcentral lists this long non-coding RNA (694 nucleotides) under Zea mays. RNAcentral describes it as "long non-coding RNA (ZMAY_LNC002566)". Lineage: Eukaryota; Viridiplantae; Streptophyta; Magnoliopsida; Poales; Poaceae. The record is from RNAcentral.